UUCAACUUGAAUAUGCGAUAAAAAAUUUCAAAUACGAUUCAUAUAUAUAUAUAUAUAUAUACUAGAUGAGGGAAGCCCGUGCUUAGCACGGACCCAAUAUAAAUUUAAGAAACAUCAAAAAGAAAUAAUGAAAAUAUUAGUAAGAUGCAAUAUGAGGCUUGUAGGGAAAAAUGCGUAUUCACUACAUAAUGAGUUGGCAUUAUUAAAUAAUGGCAAAGGAGUAACUUCAAUUUUUCCCUUUGAACAUAUAUACAGGAAAAAUCUGAUCUUCGUUAGAAUGCAACAAGAAGUGUAAAGUUGGUAUUGAUUAGGUUGAGUCGGUCUAUGGUUUAUGUAUUUCUCUCUUUUCUUUUCCUUGAGUCUUCAUGAUAUCUGGUGAUUGUAUAUAUCUGCAGAAGAUCUGAAACAUUAUUUUAGUAUUAAGAUUAUUUAUAUGGAGAUUAAACUGCAACCAGGAAGCUGGGAAGAUAUUCAUUUAAGAAUUCAAAGUUAAAAGUUUAUAAGUUGCAGGAAAAGCACAAAGCUACAAGUUUGUAGAAAUUCUGUUGGAAAAGUUAAAGAGUAAUUUUGUAUAGAACUUUAGGAUAACUUAGCACGAAAAAAGUGAGAUUUGGCAGAUUCAUUUGUAGCAACUGCACAAAAGAGAAUAAUAAACAUGUCUAAGUUUUAAAAAAAAAAAAACGCAAAAAGAAAGGAUAUAGGUGACAUUACCAACAUAAUUUAGCUAUAAUUAUAUAAAUAAAAGUAGUGAGUACUCAUCAACUCCAGGGUAACUCACCAUGGAAAAAGUCAGACUUGUCAAAUUCAUUUGUAGCAACUGCGUAGAAGAAAAUUGUAAACAUCUCUAGACAAUUAACUUUCGAAUUGAAAUCUUCAGUGGCAACUUGUUCUCGGUAACUUUUACAUCCUUCAAUGAUGACUUACUAUAGAAGAAAUGUCCUAAUACAACGAAACUCAUUCAUUAGAUUGCCCAUGCUUUGAUGUGAUAACCUUUCUCCAUAAAGCAGUGUCCUCAACAUUGAAUCUCAAUAGCCAUUUUACUGAGAGGCUCGUUUAUCAUGAUCAUCCCGCCUUACAACCCAACCUAAACUAUUAGUUCCAUAACUUGAUGUUUGUGUCAUGCCUCUAAAACUUUGCAAAUAAAUUGAGUGUUAACAUACUAAAUGUAUAUUAUGAAUCACGUAAAUUAACAACAAUGGGCACUGAACACAAAAAGUCACUGACGCACACUCUAGUACGUACAUCCAAUUGUAAUCAAGUGUAAAAACAGGAAAAUGAAUUUGAGCACAUCAUGGAACGGAAAACGUGAGCUUUGGAUGUCAUAACUAAGUAUAUAGAACAAGAAGAGUGAAGAAGUAACCUUCCUUGUUUGUUAAGUAGAACAAAUUUGAGACUGUAUUGUGUGUUUCCAUGUUUACAGCAGUAAAAUAAAUCGAAUUUUCGAAGGCCAACAACAUAUCAUAGUAAUAGAAUGUAUAGGCAUCUAAUUAAGAAGUGGACAUCUAAGUUGCGUGGACUCUUCACUUUCGAUGUCGCACCCGUGUCGGUUUCUCCAAAAAUACACUAUUUUUGACAAAUUCGACACACCCCUUGACAUUUUUGAAUAGUAUAUGCGAAUAGUUGAAGAGUACACUACCAUGAGAAGACUACAUGUACAUUACCGAACAAUGAAAUUCUGUUAUAGGUAGUAUAAAUAACAUGUGAAUCACAGAUAUUAACUGUUACAAAAGAUCCUUUCUUAUAAUCUUAUUAGAGGAAAGUGUAUAUGUGCAUAUAAGAGCACAUCUAUUUCAGUAUGAAAUAUUUAUGUUAACUAUUUGUUAAUUAUUCAAUAUGAUGCCACCUGAUUGUUAUAUACCAAUUUCAAUUCCAGCAACACCUAACCAUUUAGCACAUUAUCAGUUGCCAUUAUUCAUGGUUCAUUUUCAUUCAUUAGUUCUCAGCUACAAUGGGUAUGUUAAUUAAGAAGAAGAAUUCUGGUGGCCUGGGAAGUUGAAGGCGGAAGAGGAACGCAACAAAGUCACAGCGAGCAGAAUAGUUUAGCUAAACCAUCAAGGGUCCAACUGUGUGAAUGAGAUUCUUUCGCUAUUAAUUAAAAGUUAGUAAAUUUUUCUAAUUAGCUUUACACACUUGUUUUCUUUGUCGAUACAUAAAUAGAUUAGCACUAAGAGUUAUGAACAACAAGCUGCAGGACUUCUUGGUUUUGCUCUUCCAAGGAACCAAUAUUGGAGUUUAGUUUAUUACAAAUUCUCGGCUGACUAAUCAUAGUUUCUGGCCGUUGAGAAACUCUCUGUUGCGGGAAAAUGUGGUUAUGAUAUUCAACAAACGGUAAAAUCAGCAGGUGUACUUUAUAAAAAAAAUUUCCUAAGCUAUACAAAAUUUCAUAUAAGGUUCAAUGAGGAAUUUUGAUGAACAUUUAGCGGCUAAAGCUAAUUAUUAACAGGGCAAGAAAAAACAUAAAAUGCAUACAAGCAAGACAGUAAACAACAAACCACGAAGAGGAAACAUAGAACUCACAGUUACAUAGGCAGAGAGAAGCAAAGCGCUUUGCACAAGCCGAACUAUCAAGAGGUGCGAAGAAGGUAAACAAUUUCAACAGAGAUGAUGAAUGCGGCAGUUGACAAGAGGAAGAGGAAGCAGCGAGGUAAUAGCUGUAAAAGAUUUGGGCUACGCGUGGCAGGCAAAGUUGUGUAAUUGGAAAGAUUGUAAUACCCUUUUCGAUGACACAGACAUGUUGAGGAGCUGUGUGCUUACUGGCAUUUAUCAUAUAGUAGAAUAUAUAUAAAGGUCAAGUGAUCUCAGUUCGGG
Molecule: long non-coding RNA, 2808 nt
Filed under: Solanum tuberosum (potato)
Lineage: Eukaryota; Viridiplantae; Streptophyta; Magnoliopsida; Solanales; Solanaceae
Description: long non-coding RNA (STUB_LNC010685)
Source: RNAcentral